This 418-nucleotide ribosomal RNA is filed under the name uncultured microorganism. RNAcentral describes it as "bacterial SSU rRNA". It matches the Rfam family "Bacterial small subunit ribosomal RNA", at positions 9 to 433 of the family's 1533-position model. The record is from RNAcentral.
GAGUUUGAUCAUGGCUCAGAUUGAACGCUGGCGGCAUGCCUUACACAUGCAAGUCGAACGGUAACAGGUCUUCGGAUGCUGACGAGUGGCGAACGGGUGAGUAAUACAUCGGAACGUGCCCAGACGUGGGGGGAUAACGAGGCGAAAGCUUUGCUAAUACCGCAUACGAUCUAAGGAUGAAAGCAGGGGACCGCAAGGCCUUGCGCGUUUGGAGCGGCCGAUGGCAGAUUAGGUAGUUGGUGGGAUAAAAGCUUACCAAGCCGACGAUCUGUAGCUGGUCUGAGAGGACGACCAGCCACACUGGGACUGAGACACGGCCCAGACUCCUACGGGAGGCAGCAGUGGGAAUUUGGACGAUGGGCGAAAGCCUGAUCCAGCAAUGCCGCGUGCAGGAUGAAGGCCUCGGUUGUAACGUAGC